This 443-nucleotide ribosomal RNA is filed under the name uncultured bacterium. Its description in RNAcentral is "partial 16S ribosomal RNA". It matches the Rfam family "Bacterial small subunit ribosomal RNA", at positions 338 to 795 of the family's 1533-position model. The record is from RNAcentral.
CCUACGGGAGGCAGCAGUGGGGAAUAUUGGGCAAUGGGCGCAAGCCUGACCCAGCAACGCCGCGUGAAGGAAGAAGGCUUUCGGGUUGUAAACUUCUUUUCUCAGGGACGAAGCAAGUGACGGUACCUGAUGAAUAAGCCGCGGCUAACUACGUGCCAGCAGCCGCGGUAAUACGUAGGUGGCAAGCGUUAUCCGGAUUUACUGGGUGUAAAGGGCGCGUAGGCGGGGACGCAAGUCAGAUGUGAAACCCACGGGCUCAACCUGUGGCCUGCAUUUGAAACUGUGUGUCUUGAGUACUGGAGAGGCAGACGGAAUUCCUAGUGUAGCGGUGAAAUGCGUAGAUAUUAGGAGGAACACCAGUGGCGAAGGCGGUCUGCUGGACAGCAACUGACGCUGAGGCGCGAAAGCGUGGGGAGCAAACAGGAUUAGAUACCCUGGUAGUC